RNAcentral lists this ribosomal RNA (481 nucleotides) under uncultured Bacteroidota bacterium. RNAcentral describes it as "bacterial SSU rRNA". It matches the Rfam family "Bacterial small subunit ribosomal RNA", at positions 33 to 509 of the family's 1533-position model. Lineage: Bacteria; Pseudomonadati; Bacteroidota. The record is from RNAcentral.
ACGCUAGCGGCAGGCCUAACACAUGCAAGCCCGAGGGGUAACAGGGUAGCAAUAUCGCUGACGACCGGCGCACGGGUGAGUAACGCGUAUGUAACCUUCCUUUAACUGGGGCAUAGCCCGGAGAAAUUCGGAUUAAUACCCCAUAACAUUGCAGAGAGGCAUCUCUCAGCAAUUAAAGCUCCGGCGGUUAAAGAUGGGCAUGCGUGCCAUUAGCUUGUUGGUGAGGUAACGGCUCACCAAGGCUACGAUGGUUAGGGGGUCUGAGAGGAUGAUCCCCCACACUGGUACUGAGACACGGACCAGACUCCUACGGGAGGCAGCAGUGAGGAAUAUUGGGCAAUGGGCGCAAGCCUGACCCAGCCAUGCCGCGUGAAGGAUGAAUGCCCUAUGGGUUGUAAACUUCUUUUUGUACGGGACGAAACUCUUGGUCGUGACCAGGACUGACUGUACCGUACGAAUAAGCAUCGGCUAACUCCGUGCC